GGGCAUGUGGUUUAGUGGUAUAACAUUCGCUUAGCAUGCGAAAUGUCCGGCAUUCAAUUCGCCACUUGUCCA
This 72-nucleotide transfer RNA is filed under the name Sphaerobolus stellatus SS14. RNAcentral describes it as "tRNA-Ala (AGC) (tRNA-Ala-AGC-13-1, tRNA-Ala-AGC-13-2)". It matches the Rfam family "tRNA". Rfam says of the family: Transfer RNA (tRNA) molecules are approximately 80 nucleotides in length. Their secondary structure includes four short double-helical elements and three loops (D, anti-codon, and T loops). Further hydrogen bonds mediate the characteristic L-shaped molecular structure. tRNAs have two regions of fundamental functional importance: the anti-codon, which is responsible for specific mRNA codon recognition, and the 3' end, to which the tRNAs corresponding amino acid is attached (by aminoacyl-tRNA synthetases). tRNAs cope with the degeneracy of the genetic code in two manners: having more than one tRNA (with a specific anti-codon) for a particular amino acid; and 'wobble' base-pairing, i.e. permitting non-standard base-pairing at the 3rd anti-codon position. Lineage: Eukaryota; Fungi; Basidiomycota; Agaricomycetes; Geastrales; Sphaerobolaceae. The record is from RNAcentral.